This is a microRNA precursor of Capra hircus (goat), 92 nucleotides long. Ensembl annotates it as microRNA 19b-2. Its record names the gene MIR19B2. The record is from Ensembl. Lineage: Eukaryota; Metazoa; Chordata; Mammalia; Artiodactyla; Bovidae.
ACACUGCUACUUACAGUUAGUUUUGCUGGUUUGCAUUUCAGCGUGUGUAUAUAUGGCUGUGCAAAUCCAUGCAAAACUGAUUGUGAUACUGU